UACGUAGGGGACGAGCGUUGUCCGGAAUUACUGGGCGUAAAGGGCGCGCAGGCGGUUUGUCAAGUCAGCUGUUAAAAAUGGGGGCUUAACCCUCAUAUGCUGUUGAAACUGGCAGACUGGAGUGCUGUAGAGGCAAGUGGAAUUCCCAGUGUAGCGGUGAAAUGCGUAGAUAUUGGGAAGAACACCGGUGGCGAAGGCGACUUGCUGGGCAGCAACUGACGCUGAGGCGCGAAAGCCAGGGGAGCAAACGGGAUUAGAUACCCCGGUAGUCCUGGCCGUAAACGAUGAAUGCUGGGUGUGGGUGUAGAGAUACAUCCGUGCCGGAGCUAACGCGAUAAGCAUUCCGCCUGGGGAGUACGGUCGCAAGAUUGAA
RNAcentral lists this ribosomal RNA (373 nucleotides) under uncultured bacterium. RNAcentral's name for it is "bacterial SSU rRNA". It matches the Rfam family "Bacterial small subunit ribosomal RNA", at positions 524 to 898 of the family's 1533-position model. The record is from RNAcentral.